Molecule: ribosomal RNA, 498 nt
Filed under: uncultured bacterium
Lineage: Bacteria
Description: partial 16S ribosomal RNA
Rfam family: Bacterial small subunit ribosomal RNA
Source: RNAcentral
ACUCAAAGGAAUUGACGGGGGCCCGCACAAGCGGCGGAGCAUGUGGAUUAAUUCGAUGCAACGCGAAGAACCUUACCUGGGUUUGACAUGCACUAGACGCGUCUAGAGAUAGGCGUUCCCUUGUGGCUGGUGUGCAGGUGGUGCAUGGCUGUCGUCAGCUCGUGUCGUGAGAUGUUGGGUUAAGUCCCGCAACGAGCGCAACCCUCGUUCUAUGUUGCCAGCACGUUAUGGUGGGGACUCAUAGGAGACUGCCGGGGUCAACUCGGAGGAAGGUGGGGAUGACGUCAAGUCAUCAUGCCCCUUAUGUCCAGGGCUUCACACAUGCUACAAUGGCCAGUACAGAGGGCUGCGAGACCGUGAGGUGGAGCGAAUCCCUUAAAGCUGGUCUCAGUUCGGAUUGGGGUCUGCAACUCGACCCCAUGAAGUUGGAGUCGCUAGUAAUCGCAGAUCAGCAUUGCUGCGGUGAAUACGUUCCCGGGCCUUGUACACACCGCCCGU